Long non-coding RNA from Eucalyptus grandis, 984 nucleotides. RefSeq lists it as uncharacterized. The record is from RefSeq and is a predicted model, not a curated record. NCBI's taxonomy places the organism in Eukaryota, Viridiplantae, Streptophyta, Magnoliopsida, Myrtales, Myrtaceae. The transcript is spliced from 5 exons.
AAAUCGCUUAACUUUUUUUGAAUUUGUUAACUUCACACUAUUCCCUUUUAUCUUUGCAGGGGGGGUCGUCUCCAUUUCAAUCUCAGCUUCCUUCAUCUGUUCCUCUUGGGGUGUCAAGAUUGAUUCUUCAUCAAUACAACUAUUUCCUCGCUUCUGGGGACUUCUUUCUUCAAUCAGAAUUAGUUCUCGAGCUGAGGAGGGCAGGUACCGGAGAUAAGGGGGUUUCAAGCACUACAUCUACAUCAUCAGGAGGAAUUUCCUUCUUUCCAUAGAAUAUUUGGCCAUAAGGGCUUAAAGCCUUCACCUCAGCAUGCAGCCAAUCCCCGCAUUUAGCCGGUGUUGUUUCCCUUUUUCCUCGAGCUUUACUUCAACAACUGUUCCUAGUUUGGAGGCUAUUUCUUCUAUCACAUCAUAGGUAACUCUCCCAUAAGGUUCGCACUGCCUAAGGAUAAGGAGGUGGCUGGAGAAUGACCAAGGUCCCGAUUGGAGCACUCUCCGAGCCUCUGCUUCCGAAUGAAAGGAGAAAGAGAAGAAACCUGGUUCCAGUGUUGCGCAGGGGUGGAUUUCUGUAUAGCUCGUGGUUUUAUGGAGUUUUGGGUUGUUGGUUUGUGAAUUUGUGGGUUGAAGGGAGCUCAGAAGAGUGAAUCAGAAGAGUGAUGAGUAGUGAGGAGAUGGCAGAAAUUAGGGUUUUGAAACUGUCGCAAUGGGGAGCGUGGUUAGACGCCGCAACGCCCAAAGAUUAGCGGGAGGGGGGAGCGAAGAAUCAAAGCAAACAGAGGUUUCAAGAUGGAAUUUGAGUGAAUCUGCAAGGAACUACCCAUUUGGUAGAGGGGGACUACACAUUCGGUAGAGAGGAAGCUCCAUGGCGGAAGUUGGUAAUUUCGCACGGGAGUUUGGUUUAUUUUGAUGACGGUUUUGUAAGUUAUUAGAAAUGUGUUCACGAUUCGGAAUUAGAUAAAAGAAAACACUAGCAAGAGGGACAAA